UACGUAGGGUCCGAGCGUUGUCCGGAAUUACUGGGCGUAAAGAGCUCGUAGGUGGUUUGUCGCGUUGUUCGUGAAAACUCACAGCUCAACUGUGGGCGUGCGGGCGAUACGAGCAGACUGGAGUACUGCAGGGGAGACUGGAAUUCCUGGUGUAGCGGUGGAAUGCGCAGAUAUCAGGAGGAACACCGGUGGCGAAGGCGGGUCUCUGGGCAGUAACUGACGCUGAGGAGCGAAAGCGUGGGGAGCGAACAGG
This 253-nucleotide ribosomal RNA is filed under the name uncultured bacterium. Its description in RNAcentral is "partial 16S ribosomal RNA". It matches the Rfam family "Bacterial small subunit ribosomal RNA", at positions 524 to 776 of the family's 1533-position model. The record is from RNAcentral.